AGGAUCAUUAUUGAAAUAAAUCUGAUAAGUUGUUGCUGGCUCUCUAGGGAGCAUGUGCACACUUGUCAUCUUUGUAUCUUCACCUGUGCAUCUUUUGUAGACCUGAGAAUCUCUCUGAAUGCUUUUAGCGCUUAGGAUUGAGGAUUGACUUGAUGUCUUUUCUUACAGUUUCAGGUCUAUGUUUUUCAUAUACCCCAAAUGUAUGUUUAUAGAAUGUAAUUAAUGGGCCUUURUGCCUAUAAACAUUUACAACUUUCAGCAACGGAUCUCUUGGCUCUCGCAUCGAUGAAGAACGCAGCGAAAUGCGAUAAGUAAUGUGAAUUGCAGAAUUCAGUGAAUCAUCGAAUCUUUGAACGCACCUUGCGCUCCUUGGUAUUCCGAGGAGCAUGCCUGUUUGAGUGUCAUUAAUAUCUAUCAACCUAUUUUAUGGGUUGGAUUUGGGGGUUUGCUGGUCCUUCUUGAGGUCAGCUCUCCUUAAAUGCAUUAGCGGACAACAUUUUGCCAACUGUUCAUUGGUGUGAUAAUUAUCUACGCUAUUGACGUGAAGCAAGGUUCAGCUUAUAACAGUCCAUUGACUUGGACAAAUUUAUUUUAUUAAUGUGACCUCAAAUCAGGUAGGACUACCCGCUGAACUUAA
Molecule: ribosomal RNA, 637 nt
Filed under: Cortinarius sp. TSJ2002-039
Lineage: Eukaryota; Fungi; Basidiomycota; Agaricomycetes; Agaricales; Cortinariaceae
Description: eukaryotic LSU rRNA
Rfam family: 5.8S ribosomal RNA (bases 251-404)
Source: RNAcentral